Molecule: ribosomal RNA, 460 nt
Filed under: uncultured bacterium
Lineage: Bacteria
Description: partial 16S ribosomal RNA
Rfam family: Bacterial small subunit ribosomal RNA
Source: RNAcentral
CCUACGGGUGGCAGCAGUGAGGAAUAUUGGUCAAUGGGCGCGAGCCUGAACCAGCCAAGUCGCGUGAGGGAUGAAGGUUCUAUGGAUCGUAAACCUCGUUUAUAAGGGAAUAAAGUGUGGGACGUGUCCCAUUUUGUAUGUACCUUAUGAAUAAGGAUCGGCUAACUCCGUGCCAGCAGCCGCGGUAAUACGGAGGAUCCGCGCGUUAUCCGGAUUUAUUGGGUUUAAAGGGUGCGUAGGCGGCCUUUUAAGUCAGCGGUGAAAGUCUGUGGCUCAACCAUAGAAUUGCAGUUGAAACUGGGGGCCUUGAGUGUGUUUGAGGCAGGCGGAAUGCGUGGUGUAGCGGUGAAAUGCUUAGAUAUCACGAAGAACCCCGAUUGCGAAGGCAGCAUGCCAGGCCAUGACUGACGCUGAUGCACGAAAGCGUGGGGAUCAAACAGGAUUAGAUACCCCUGUAGUC